This 301-nucleotide ribosomal RNA is filed under the name uncultured bacterium. Its description in RNAcentral is "partial 16S ribosomal RNA". It matches the Rfam family "Bacterial small subunit ribosomal RNA", at positions 509 to 808 of the family's 1533-position model. The record is from RNAcentral.
CAGUAGCCGCGGUAAUACGUAGGUCCCGAGCGUUGUCCGGAUUUAUUGGGCGUAAAGCGAGCGCAGGCGGUUAGAUAAGUCUGAAGUUAAAGGCUGUGGCUUAACCAUAGUACGCUUAGGAAACUGUUUAACUUGAGUGCAAGAGGGGAGAGUGGAAUUCCAUGUGUAGCGGUGAAAUGCGUAGAUAUAUGGAGGAACACCGGUGGCGAAAGCGGCUCUCUGGCUUGUAACUGACGCUGAGGCUCGAAAGCGUGGGGAGCAAACAGGAUUAGAUACCCGAGUAGUCCCUGUCUCUUAUACA